AUUUUUAUGUUACAACAGACUCGUAGAGAAGUGAAAGACGGUGGCUAUCCCGAAAGUUGAUGAUGCUUAUUAAAAUAGGUAGCCAAUCUAUGAAAUGAAAUGCCUUUUUGACAGAUUUUGAGUCACUUCAACUAAUAUUUGGCUUUGGAAUAUUUAUUAUUUCAUUACUUUAUUUAGU
Non-coding RNA from Brochothrix thermosphacta, 178 nucleotides. The record is from Rfam. NCBI's taxonomy places the organism in Bacteria, Bacillati, Bacillota, Bacilli, Caryophanales, Listeriaceae.